Sapajus apella (tufted capuchin) is the source of this 1388-nucleotide long non-coding RNA. RefSeq lists it as uncharacterized. NCBI's taxonomy places the organism in Eukaryota, Metazoa, Chordata, Mammalia, Primates, Cebidae. The transcript is spliced from 2 exons. The record is from RefSeq and is a predicted model, not a curated record.
CCUGGCUGGAAUAAUAUCUUUUAACAAUGCUCUAGUUACCUCCCUGGCUUUUUCAGUGUGAGUGGGGAAAGCUUCUGUCCACCUAGAGUAGGUGCAGACAGACACCAGCGUAUACCAAUAGCAUCUGACUCGGGACAUUUUGGUAAAGUCUACAGGCAAGUUUUCACAUGGGGUUGCUCCUACUUCUUGAACUCCCGGGGGUGGACUGGCCCUUGCGGUGGGUUGUUUUGUGCACAUCUUUUGUUAAGCAUCUCUCACAAACCGAACAAGUUACAGCAGUGAGAUGUGGCACAUAAAAAUGCCACUUGAUGGAAGCCUCCCAAGCUGUUUUUCCCAUGUGUGUCCCUUCAUGAAAUUGCUUUACAAACUUAGGGGCCAUUAUGUCAGGGAUGGCUAGCCUCCAGUCCAAGAAUUGCCACCAACCUCCUUUGAUAUAGUGUCCAGCCUCCUGAGCAAACAAGGCCUUUUCACUAGAGGAAGAAUUUGGUUCUUCCAUAGGUAGAGGUUCUGGAAGGAGAGGCAUUGCUACAACUUGGUUCUGUGGUGGGGGAGCUGUCAUAGUGAGGGACGAGACCCUUCUCCUGUCUUGAGAUGCAAGUCUGCCAGUGCUCCCGGCCGAAUAAAGCCACUUCCUUCUUUAAAUUUGGUGUCUGGGAGGUUUCACCUGCGGCUUGCCCUGCUACAGUAGCAGCUUGCUUAGCUUUCCCGUCUGCUUUUCUGUUCCCUCUGGAUUCAUAGGAAGCAUCUGGCUGAUGUCCCUUGCAGUGCAUGACAGCUGCCUUUUCUGGUGCCCACACAGCGUCCAAAAGCUGCAGAAUGUCCUCCUUGUUCUUUCUUUCUUUCUCUCCUGAUGUAAGGAGGCCUCUUUCCUUGUAUAUGGCUUCACGGACACGCAGUAUAGCAAAGGCAUAUUUAGAGUCAGUAUAGAUAUUAGCUACUUUUCCUUUUGCCAGCAACAAGGCCUUGUUAAAGCAAUCAGCUCGGCCUUUUGAGCUGAUGUUCCUUCAGGCAAGGACUGUGCCUCUAUUUCUCAGCCAUCAGUGGACCCAAAUUCCUAUGUUACUACAGCAUACCCUGCUCCGUGGAUUUCCUCUGAAAUGAAACUGCUGCCUUCCGUGAAGUAGUCUACAUCUGAACUGUUUAAAGGCUGAUGGGUUCCAUUGUGCUGUCAUGGGAAGGGCUCUGGGACGUGGGAGAGCCAAGCUCCUGUCUCGGGAAGCCGUCCCAUUGGUGCAUCUCAGGACUAGGGUCUCCCCAGACCCAGGGGCCUAAGCCCCACAGGCAAAGGAGACAGUAAGCCCGUUAUCUCUGUUCUUCUGGAUGGCACCUGGGUUUCAGCACCAAAAUGUUGUGGAAAUUUGAGCCGAUAACAACAGAGAGACCAAGAA